RNAcentral lists this unclassified non-coding RNA (253 nucleotides) under fungal sp. Its description in RNAcentral is "partial internal transcribed spacer region". The stretch from base 1 to 46 matches the Rfam family "Eukaryotic small subunit ribosomal RNA", at positions 1786 to 1831 of the family's 1831-position model. The record is from RNAcentral. Lineage: Eukaryota; Fungi.
AAGUCGUAACAAGGUUUCCGUAGGUGAACCUGCGGAAGGAUCAUUAACACUUUUUUAUUUUUUAUUUUAAAAGUAUUAUUAAAUAAUAUUUUUAAAUAAAAAACAAAACAAAACCCCACAAUUUUGGAUGAAUUUAAUUUAAUUUAAUUUUUACUUUUUAUUUAACUCUAUAUAAAUUUUAUUGACUAACAUUUAUUAUUAUUAUUUUAUUAAAUUAAAAAAACAACUCUUAACAACGGAUAUCUUGGCUCUC